GAAGGCUCGGGCCGCGAUCGGACGAUCUUUUGAUUGUGAUUUUAAAAACAAGAUCAAAAGAUCGUCCGAUCGCGGCCCGAGCCUUC
Molecule: non-coding RNA, 86 nt
Filed under: Pseudomonas helmanticensis
Lineage: Bacteria; Pseudomonadati; Pseudomonadota; Gammaproteobacteria; Pseudomonadales; Pseudomonadaceae
Source: RNAcentral